CAUGCAAGUUGAACGAGAGUGUUAGAUAGCUUGCUAUUUAGCAUGAAAGUAGCGCACUGGUGAGUAACACGUGGGAACGUACCUAUAGGUGGGGGAUAACGUUUGGAAACGAACGCUAAUACCGCAUACGCCCUGAGGGGGAAAGAUUUAUUGCCGAUAGAUCGGCCCGCGGAAGAUUAGGUAGUUGGUGGGGUAAAGGCCUACCAAGCCGACGAUCUAUAGCUGGUCUGAGAGGACGAUCAGCCACAUUGGAACUGAGACACGGUCCAGACUCCUACGGGAGGCAGCAGUGAGGAAUAUUGGGCAAUGGAGGCAACUCUGACCCAGCCAUGCCGCGUGAGUGAAGAAGGUUUUCGGAUUGUAAAGCUCUUUCGCACGGGACGAUGAUGACGGUACCGUGAUAAGAAGCCCCGGCUAACUUCGUGCCAGCAGCCGCGGUAAUACGAAGGGGGCAAGCGUUGUUCGGAAUUACUGGGCGUAAAGGGAGUGUAGGCGGUUAUGUAAGAUAGCGGUGAAAUGCCGGGGCUCAACCUCGGAAUUGCCGUUAUAACUAUGUAACUA
RNAcentral lists this ribosomal RNA (561 nucleotides) under uncultured bacterium. RNAcentral's name for it is "bacterial SSU rRNA". It matches the Rfam family "Bacterial small subunit ribosomal RNA", at positions 54 to 643 of the family's 1533-position model. The record is from RNAcentral.